RNAcentral lists this ribosomal RNA (393 nucleotides) under uncultured Chrysophyceae. Its description in RNAcentral is "partial small subunit ribosomal RNA". It matches the Rfam family "Eukaryotic small subunit ribosomal RNA", at positions 30 to 432 of the family's 1831-position model. Lineage: Eukaryota; Chrysophyceae. The record is from RNAcentral.
GCUUGUCUCAAAGAUUAAGCCAUGCAUGUCUAAGUACAAGCCUCAGUAAGGUGAAACCGCGAAUGGCUCAUUAAAUCACACCUAAUCUACUGGAAAGUUACUAGUUACUUGGAUAACCGUAGUAAUUCUAGAGCUAAUACAUGCGUCAAACCUCGACUUCUGGGAGAGGUGUAUUUAUUAGAUGGAAACCAAUGCGGGGCAACCCGGUAUAUGGUGAUUCAUAAUAACUUUCGGAUCGAUCUUCGGAUCGAUGCAUCAUUCAAGUUUCUGCCCUAUCAGCUUUGGAUGGUAGGGUAUUGGCCUACCAUGGCUUUAACGGGUAACGGAGAAUUAGGGUUCGAUUCCGGAGAGGGAGCCUGAGAAAUGGCUACCACAUCCAAGGAAGGCAGCAGG